This 461-nucleotide ribosomal RNA is filed under the name uncultured bacterium. RNAcentral's name for it is "partial 16S ribosomal RNA". It matches the Rfam family "Bacterial small subunit ribosomal RNA", at positions 338 to 795 of the family's 1533-position model. The record is from RNAcentral.
ACUACGGGAGGCAGCAGUGAGGAAUAUUGGUCAAUGGGCGGGAGCCUGAACCAGCCAAGUCGCGUGAGGGAAGACGGUCCUAUGGAUUGUAAACCUCUUUAGGCGGGGAGCAAUGCCGGGCACGCGUGCUCGGAGGUAGAGUACCCGCAGAAUAAGCAUCGGCAAACUGCGUCCCAGCGGCGGGGGUAAUACGGAGGAUCCGAGCGUUAACCGGAUUUAUUGGGUUUAAAGGGAGCGUAGAUGGGUUGUUAAGUCAGUUGUGAAAGUUUGCGGUUCAACCGUAAAAUUGCAAUUGUUACUGGCUGUCGUGAGUGCAGUUGAGGUAGGCGGAAUUCGUGGUGUAGCGGUGAAAUGCUUAGAUAUCACGAAGAACUCCGAUUGCGAAGGCAGCUUACUAAACUGCCACUGACAUUGAUGCUCGAAAGUGUGGGUAUCAAACAGGAUUAGAUACCCCUGUAGUC